CACAGAAUCAUAUGAACAUUCAGACAAUUCAUUGAAGUCAAAUUAGCCAAUGUUCACCAUAUUGAACCAAAACUAACUAGAAAUUAAAAUUCAAAGACCAACAAAAUGUUUCAUAUGAAAUUAAUGGCAAAAAGGUAAAAUUCAAAGUUCUAGUAUAAUAACUGACAUAUGCGUAUGAACUUCAAUUCCAACUCAAGAUCAAAACAACGAAUUAGGAAGAAAUUGUGAAAUUCUUGUGAAUAUCAAAUUUCCCGAAAUUGGGGGAAAAAUAGUGGAAUCCAGUGAAUUUGGCAGCUCGAUUUUAAAGAUUAUGGCCGGACGUAGAGAUUGCCUGAAAUUGUUGAAAAUGGCAAAACCUAGAGAUUUUGGAAUGAAGACAACUCGAUUUUGGAGAUUAUGGCUGGUUUUUGUGGAGAUGAGGAAUUGCAUGAGAAUGCCACAUGUUUUCAAUAGCUAAUCUGCCAAUUUUUAUGAAUAGAAAUAAAAUGUCACAACAAACACCACCAAUGGUACCGGAAUCUGUAUACCGCUCGUCGCUCCACCUCAUACAACAUUGAGAUCUCUCAGCGCCAUUCCAGAUCUUGAAAUCUCACAGACAACUCCAUCGUCGCUAUGUAAACAACGUCGAGCGACGAGAUUAACACAGCCAUUGAAAUCUAUAUACCCUGCACGGAUCGAAAUCUCAUGCCACCGCACCUCGUACAACUCUUAGAUUAACGCACCUCGUUGCUCCACCUCGCAGAUUAACGUUGCUCGUACGUUACACCUUGCACAGAUUGAAGUCUCGCAUCACCCCCAACUCCCACAGCCGCUCCGGUGUGUGGUAAAGAGACGAACGGUAGAGAUGAUAGAUAGAGACGAGAGAGGGAGAGAGAGGAGAUGGGUCUGUGUCUCUGGGUAGGGUUUUUUAUUUUUUGUAAUUAGUUUAUUUAAAUAAUUAAUAAAAAAUUCUGAUUUCUGAAAUGUUAAACUUUCCCCCUAUUUUAGAAUUCUUGAUUUUAAU
This 1003-nucleotide long non-coding RNA is filed under the name Olea europaea (common olive). RNAcentral's name for it is "long non-coding RNA (OEUR_LNC003974)". Lineage: Eukaryota; Viridiplantae; Streptophyta; Magnoliopsida; Lamiales; Oleaceae. The record is from RNAcentral.